Oncorhynchus tshawytscha (Chinook salmon) is the source of this 1052-nucleotide long non-coding RNA. The record is from Ensembl. Lineage: Eukaryota; Metazoa; Chordata; Actinopteri; Salmoniformes; Salmonidae.
CAGGGAUUAUCCUGCAUGGGGAUAAGGUGGCGCUGCGCAAGAACACCUUGUCAAAGACCAAUCUGGAGCAGCACAGUUGCUUGAUUGGCGUUUGCAACGUGGGAAACUACCACUGGAUACUCUUGUAUGUCAAACGCAGGACACACUCUGCCAUUGUCCUGGACCCUACUGGUUCCCCUAACACAGAGCCAUAUGAGCGAGAACCUGGUGAAGCACAUCAGAUACUGGUUUGAUGAACGAACCCGCAGAACUGGGACAAUGUUUUCAGCAAUGUUCCCUGGCAGGCGGCGACAAUACCGCACACCAAGCAAAUCGACGGCUACAAUUGUGGAGUUUAUGUGCUGCUGACGGCCAGAGAGUUAAUGCAGAGGGAGAAGGCACUAAGUGACCCAACUGUCCCAAUGCAUGUUAACAUCGGUGGUGCCAGAAUGGAGGUGGCCAAAGAGAUCCUGGACAAAGAACUUAACAGGAAACUCUACUGCAGUUUCUGUGCAACAGAUGAGGGGGGAGACUGGAUGGAGUGCUCCACAUGCUCCAGUUGGUACCACACCUCCUGUGCUGGGGUAUCCAUCAGCAUUUACCAUCAACACAUGGAGAAUCCUGCCUUACAAUGGAUAUGCCCACACUGCCACAAUUGAAAACCUGCACACCAAGGCUACUAUUGGGUUGAUACUGUGUGAAAUCUAUAUAAUGUCCAGAGGUGUAAAAGAUUUACAACUACAGUAGAUAGAUUUUAGGGAUGUCCCCAGAGAGAGAGAGAGAGAGAGAGAGAGAGAGAGAGAGAGAGAGAGAGAUUCCGAGUUGAACAUCCCUACUCAGCCACUAUUUAUUCCCAUUGAUGUUCGACCGUUGAACAGGUGCUCUGUAGGUCAGGUCAUGAUAACACCACUCAUCAACCUACGGGUGUCAGGGAAUCACAGCGAUACCAUUCAGUUCCUGCUUUGGGAUUCUCCUGGGCCAAACGGCACAAUCCACUCAUCAACUGGUCUACCGGUGCUAUCAUGGCCUGGAGUUUGUCUGAAUUGUCUGAAUUCGGCACAACUUCCCCCGGG